UCCUACGGGACGCAGCAGUGAGGAAUAUUGGUCAAUGGGCGGGAGCCUGAACCAGCCAAGCCGCGUGAAGGAAGAAGGCGCCAGGCGUCGUAAACUUCUUUUGUCGGGGAACAAAGGGCGCCACGCGUGGCGUUGUGAGUGUACCCGAAGAAAAAGCAUCGGCUAACUCCGUGCCAGCAGCCGCGGUAAUACGGAGGAUGCGAGCGUUAUCCGGAUUUACUGGGAUUAAAGGGUGCGCAGGCGGUCCGGAAAGUCAGCGGUAAAAGCCCGGGGCCCAACCCCGGCGA
This 287-nucleotide ribosomal RNA is filed under the name uncultured bacterium. RNAcentral's name for it is "partial 16S ribosomal RNA". It matches the Rfam family "Bacterial small subunit ribosomal RNA", at positions 337 to 621 of the family's 1533-position model. The record is from RNAcentral.